GCAGGCAGGAAUACUGGAGUGGGUUGCCAUUUCUUUCUCCAUGGGGUCUUCCAGACCCAGGGAUUGAACCCAGGUCUCCUGUACUGCAGGCAGAUUCUUUACCAUCUGAGCUACCAUGGAAGACCAGGAAAAGAAGGGGCAUGGUGAAUCAGGUACUGUGAGAAAGCUCUGAAAGACAGCAAGCAGAUGGAUUGGGACUAAAGAUGAAAGGACAGUCUGGGACAGGCGUGACCGGAUUGUGCCAUGAAGAAAUGUUUGUUGAAUUCUAAGCUGUUUUACGUCAUGGUCUAUGGAAUAGAUAUCUGAACACAGGCCAUCCAUUCUUCUGGUGAAGACUAAAAGCUGUUUUUCAUGGAGAAGUGAAGUUUUUCAUGGAGAAUCCUGGCUCAGUCCCUGGGCAGAAGCAGAAUGGAUGAGUCAGAGUGCCCCGACAUGGCGUGACAGUGAUGAGUGUGCUCUCACCACAAACUUGGAAAGAAGGGACUCAGCUUGCCCUCUGAGAAUUAGGCUCAGAAAUCAACAUUGAAAAGUAUUAGCAUUGAAUUACAUGAAAUCUCUUUAAAGAAUCCAGAUGACUCACAGGCCAGAAUUUAUGCUGGCUACAACCAGACUUGACAUUCAGAAAUGCAAUCCAGGAUGUAUUUGUUGAAAAAUAAUUGAUAAAGGAUGAACGUGUCUGAAAGAUCACAGAGACGGCUGGUGCCCAUCUCAGCAGGCCUCAGUUUCUCUUUCUCCAUGUACCCAGCCAUUCCAUCUAAUAUUGAGAAAAUCAAUAUUGGACAAGAAAACCAGUCUUGUUCCCCUGAGUAG
This 810-nucleotide long non-coding RNA is filed under the name Capra hircus (goat). Its description in RNAcentral is "lncRNA (ENSCHIG00000008130.1)". The record is from RNAcentral. Lineage: Eukaryota; Metazoa; Chordata; Mammalia; Artiodactyla; Bovidae.